AGCGUUUGAUCAUGGCUCAGGACGAACGCUGGCGGCGCGCCUAACACAUGCAAGUCGAACGAGCGAGAGAGAGCUUGCUUUCUCGAGCGAGUGGCGAACGGGUGAGUAACGCGCGAGGAACCUGCCUCAAAGAGGGGGACAACAGUUGGAAACGACUGCUAAUACCGCAUAAGCCCACGACCCGGAAUCGGGUAGAGGGAAAAGGAGCAAUCCGCUUUGAGAUGGCCUCGCGUCCGAUUAGCUAGUUGGU
Molecule: ribosomal RNA, 250 nt
Filed under: uncultured bacterium
Lineage: Bacteria
Description: partial 16S ribosomal RNA
Rfam family: Bacterial small subunit ribosomal RNA
Source: RNAcentral